This 627-nucleotide ribosomal RNA is filed under the name Ptiliidae sp. BMNH 1274726. RNAcentral's name for it is "16S ribosomal RNA". It matches the Rfam family "Bacterial large subunit ribosomal RNA", at positions 1773 to 2700 of the family's 2925-position model. The record is from RNAcentral. Lineage: Eukaryota; Metazoa; Arthropoda; Insecta; Coleoptera; Ptiliidae.
AGGAAUUCGGCAAAGAUAAAUUUUACCUGUUUAUUAAAAACAUGUCUUUUUGAGAUUAAUUUAAAGUCUGACCUGCUCUAUGAAUUUUAAAUGGCUGCGGUAUUUUGACCGUACAAAGGUAGCAUAAUCAUUAGUUUUUUAAAUGGAAGCUAGUAUGAAGGGUUUGAUAAAAAUUUAACUGUCUUGGGUAAAAUAAUUAGAAUUUUAUUUUUAAGUAAAAAAGCUUAAAUAUUAUUAAAAGACGAGAAGACCCUAUAGAGUUUUAUAUUAAUUAAAAUUAAAUUUUUAUAAUAUUUUUAUUUUAAGAUAUAUUUGAUUGGGGUGAUUUUAAAAUUAAAUAAACUUUUAAAUUUUUUAAUCAUUAAUGAAUGUAUUUUUGAUCCAAUAAAUUGAUUAUUAGAUUAAAUUACCUUAGGGAUAACAGCGUUAUUUUUUUAGAGAGUUCUUAUCGAAAAAAAAGUUUGCGACCUCGAUGUUGGAUUAAAGUUAAAUUAGGUGUAGAAGCUUAAUAAAUUAAGUCUGUUCGACUUUUGAAACUUUACAUGAUCUGAGUUUAAACCGGUGUGAGCCAGGUUGGAUUCUAUCUUUAAUCUAAAUUAAUAUUUUAGUACGAAAGGACCAAAUGUU